GCCUCACGUCGGCCGGCUUGCCGGGGCCGGGCUCCACCGGCGUGAACUCGACGCGAACGGUGGACUUGCCCUUCGGCAGCAAUUCGGAUGACUGGAUCCGCGCAUGGUCCACUUCGAAGAAGUUAUAGUAGAAGGUCGGCUUGCCGUCCUUGAUAUACAGCGACCACCCCGACGUGAUGCCGCCGAUGGCGGCGAGGACACCUUCACCGCCGGCGUCCUCGACCUCCACAUCUGCCGUGAUGCUAAAGGGGAGGCCGUGGGUGUUCAGGACGGCGGAUUCGCUGAGGCCGGUCACACCUGGCCCGUAACUGAAUUUCUUGAGACCGGCCAGCGGAUUGGGCCGCAACCCCGCAGCAAAGCGUUCGGCCAAUCGGUCAUCAAGGGGCAGCACAUUGUAUUUCUUC
RNAcentral lists this unclassified non-coding RNA (404 nucleotides) under fungal sp. RNAcentral describes it as "partial internal transcribed spacer region". The record is from RNAcentral. Lineage: Eukaryota; Fungi.